Long non-coding RNA from Apteryx rowi (Okarito brown kiwi), 1569 nucleotides. Ensembl lists it as uncharacterized. The record is from Ensembl. Lineage: Eukaryota; Metazoa; Chordata; Aves; Apterygiformes; Apterygidae.
GUGCCAUCCCAUGGGGUGGUGGGAUGAGCCCUGCCGGGGAGGGUUCCCUCUCCGUUUGGGGUAUGGGGCCCACAGCGAGCCCUGGGCAGCAGUGGGCUCCUGGGCCGGGUAACAGCAGCGCUGUCCUCCCAAGGGAGGGCGAAGGGAGCGUCGCAGCCAGCCAGGGCCCCAGCACGGCGCGGCAGCGCUGGCCCGGCAACAUGUCCACCACGAGUCCCGCCAGGCAGCUGUCCACCUCCAGCUCCCUCACCACCAUCUGCCCCUACGGAGACCCUGCCGCCUUCGCCGCCGAGAACACCGAAGUGGAUAUUUUGGGCAUCAACGGGGUGCUGUACAAGGGCAGACUGUGCUCAGGGACCACCAACACGACUGUCGCCCUGGAAAGGGACUUCCCAGGAAUGAAGACCUUCCAGCUUCCUUCCCAGCAGGCUGCGGAGAAGAUGCGCCCCGCGAAGUACGGCAGCCGUUACGUGUCCCCGUACUCAUGCGCUGCCAUGUGGGCGAAGGCCCCGACCUCGGGAGGCCGGCGGCAGGAUAUCGCAGGUGGCGGCAGCGUGGCAGGCAUCUGAGCUGGCUGGGGAGGGCCACAGCUCGGCCCACCAGCCCCAUCGCUGCCAUCACGAGUGGAAGUAGCACGGGGGGACCAGGACCGGCAAGGCUGCGCUGCUGGGGAGAGGGAUCUGCAUGGGGAGAGGUGGCCCUGCCUGGCCUCGGGGAUCGGGAAGUGGGGGUGAUGCUGCCGGGGCCUCUCCUUCCCCUUGGCGCAGGCUGUGCCUCGGAGACCUCCCGCGCAGCCGCUCGUUGCAGCGGGGCGACUCCGCGGGCCAUAAAGAUGUUCCCUGUUCAGCUGCCUCCYGUGUGUGGUCCCUGGGUUCGCCGGGCUGCACGGGGCGUCCUCGGACACUUGGCCUGGGCGAGCUGAGCUACACUGGGAGCGACCAGCGCCCAAACCGCCGCAUCCCAAACAGGGCAGCGAAGCCACGCGAUGCACGCAGCCCAGCUGCGGUGCAGGGGACAGCGCGCGGAGGCUGGCAGGGCACAGCGACACCGGCGCUGGGGUCCCUCCAGUAGCAGCGAGGCACAUGCCGCGGGGGAACAUGUCUCCCGUGCCGCAGGAGCUGGCGGGGCAGCUGCGCGGCUCUUGCCGAGGCUUUGGCAGCCAGGCAAACGCGGGGCUGUGCCGGGAGAGGCUGGGGACAAGCUGGGCAGAUGUGGCACAUGGCUGCAGCGCGUGGCGGAGCUCGAGCAGYGGAGGUGGUGCCUGCCCUGCUGCAGCCACGGAUUCGCAUCGGCUUGGUUCCCCAAGGUGCUGCGCCGAGUCCCUGUACGCUCUCCCUGCCCAGCCAGACCUUCAGGUCUCUGGGUCUGGCCCUGGAUUUUCUGAUUCCACCACUCCCAGUGGACUUGGGACAACCACAGGCACGCUACCCCUCCACGCUAUCCUUUCUCCCGUCCAUCCAAAGCCUCCACGCUUGGUGACCUCUGGCUUCCCCUGCGUUUCAGUGGCAGGUGCCUCCCUCUGAGGACAGGGACAGGUCCCCAUGUCUCCCCAGGGCCUCCGUCCCCAGA